UGGGGAAUAUUGGACAAUGGGCGCAAGCCUGAUCCAGCCAUGCCGCGUGAGUGAUGAAGGCCUUAGGGUUGUAAAGCUCUUUCGCCGGUGAAGAUAAUGACGGUAACCGGAGAAGAAGCCCCGGCUAACUUCGUGCCAGCAGCCGCGGUAAUACGAAGGGGGCUAGCGUUGCUCGGAAUCACUGGGCGUAAAGCGCACGUAGGCGGAUCGUUAAGUCAGGGGUGAAAUCCUGGAGCUCAACUCCAGAACUGCCCUUGAUACUGGCGAUCUCGAGUUCGAGAGAGGUUGGUGGAACUCCGAGUGUAGAGGUGAAAUUCGUAGAUAUUCGGAAGAACACCAGUGGCGAAGGCGGCCAACUGGCUCGA
RNAcentral lists this ribosomal RNA (365 nucleotides) under uncultured bacterium. RNAcentral describes it as "partial 16S ribosomal RNA". It matches the Rfam family "Bacterial small subunit ribosomal RNA", at positions 355 to 737 of the family's 1533-position model. The record is from RNAcentral.